UGUCAAAGCUGGCCAUUUCCC
This 21-nucleotide unclassified non-coding RNA is filed under the name Mus musculus (house mouse). Its description in RNAcentral is "oocyte_clustered_small_RNA12634". The record is from RNAcentral. Lineage: Eukaryota; Metazoa; Chordata; Mammalia; Rodentia; Muridae.